Molecule: ribosomal RNA, 812 nt
Filed under: uncultured bacterium
Lineage: Bacteria
Description: bacterial SSU rRNA
Rfam family: Bacterial small subunit ribosomal RNA
Source: RNAcentral
AGAGUUUGAUCCUGGCUCAGAACGAACGCUGGCGGCGUGCCUAACACAUGCAAGUCGAACGUGAUUGAGGAGCUUGCUCCUCAUGAAAGUGGCGCACGGGUGAGUAACGCGUAGAUAAUCUACCUGAUGAUCUGGGAUAACACUUCGAAAGGGGUGCUAAUACCUGAUAAGCCCACGGGGUCUUCGGACUCUGCGGGAAAAGGGGGGGACCUUUGUCGGCCUUCCGUCAUCAGAUGAGUCUGCGUCUGAUUAGCUAGUUGGUGGGGUAACGGCCUACCAAGGCGACGAUCAGUAGCCGGCCUGAGAGGGUGAUCGGCCACACUGGAACUGAGACACGGUCCAGACUCCUACGGGAGGCAGCAGUGGGGAAUUUUGCGCAAUGGACGAAAGUCUGACGCAGCAACGCCGCGUGGGUGAUGAAGGUCUUCGGAUUGUAAAACCCUGUCGUCAGGGACGAAGGUUGGGAUCCUAAUACGAUUUCAGCUUGACGGUACCUGGAGAGGAAGCCCCGGCUAACUCUGUGCCAGCAGCCGCGGUAAUACAGAGGGGGCAAGCGUUAUUCGGAAUUAUUGGGCGUAAAGGGCGCGUAGGCGGUUUUGUAAGUAGGAUGUGUAAUCCCCGAGCUCAACUUGGGAACUGCAUCCUAGACUGCAAGGCUAGAGUACUGGAGAGGGUGGUAGAAUUCCACGUGUAGCGGUGAAAUGCGUAGAGAUGUGGAGGAAUACCAGUGGCGAAGGCGGCCACCUGGACAGUAACUGACGCUGAGGCGCGAAAGUGUGGGGAGCAAACAGGAUUAGAUACCCUGGUAGUCC